AAAGCAGGCCGGAUCGUCGCUGCCGCGGCAACGCGGGAGAGGAAAGUCCGGGCUCCACAGGGCAGGAUGCCGGCUAACGGCCGGGCGGCGUGAGCCGACGGACAGUGCAACAGAGAGCAGACCGCCGAUGGCCGGGGCAACCCGGAUCAGGCAAGGGUGAAACGGUGCGGUAAGAGCGCACCAGCGUCCCGGGCAACCGGGCGGCUCGGUAAACCCCAUCCGGAGCAAGACCAAGCAGCAGGCGUCGAAGCGGCCCGCCGAGCCUGCGGGUAGGUUGCUUGAGCGUGCCGGCAACGGUACGCCUAGAGGAAUGACGGUCGCCCCCGCAAGGGGGAACAGAACCCGGCUUACAGGCCAGCUUUGCCA
RNAcentral lists this RNase P RNA (366 nucleotides) under Chitiniphilus purpureus. RNAcentral's name for it is "Chitiniphilus sp. CD1 RNase P RNA component class A". It matches the Rfam family "Bacterial RNase P class A". Rfam says of the family: Ribonuclease P (RNase P) is a ubiquitous endoribonuclease, found in archaea, bacteria and eukarya as well as chloroplasts and mitochondria. Its best characterised activity is the generation of mature 5'-ends of tRNAs by cleaving the 5'-leader elements of precursor-tRNAs. Cellular RNase Ps are ribonucleoproteins. The record is from RNAcentral. Lineage: Bacteria; Pseudomonadati; Pseudomonadota; Betaproteobacteria; Neisseriales; Chitinibacteraceae.